AGGUGCAGUCAUACCAUCACUAAUGCAUCAGAUCCAAUUAGAACUCCCAAGUGAAGCGUGCUUGGGCGAGAGUAGUACUAGGAUGGGUGACCUCCUAGGAAGUCCUCGUGUUGCACUCU
This is a non-coding RNA of Cicer arietinum (chickpea), 119 nucleotides long. The record is from Rfam. NCBI's taxonomy places the organism in Eukaryota, Viridiplantae, Streptophyta, Magnoliopsida, Fabales, Fabaceae.